UGUUGGGGUAACGGCCCAACAAGCCCGUGAUCGGUACGGGUUGUGAGAGCAAGAGCCCGGAGAUGGAUUCUGAGACACGAAUCCAGGCCCUACGGGGCGCAGCAGGCGCGAAAACUUUACAAUGCGGGAAACCGUGAUAAGGGAACCCCGAGUGCCCGUAAAUUCGGGCUGUCCAUCAGCGUAAAUAACUGGUGAAGAAAGGGCCGGGCAAGACCGGUGCCAGCCGCCGCGGUAAUACCGGCGGCUCGAGUGGUGGCCACUAUUAUUGGGCUUAAAGCGUCCGUAGCUUGGUUGUUAAGUCUCUUGGGAAAUCUACCGGCUCAACCGGUAGGCGUUCAGGAGAUACUGGCAAUCUAGGGACCGGGAGAGGUGAGAGGUACUCCAGGGGUAGGAGUGAAAUCCUGUAAUCCUUGGGGGACCACCUGUGGCGAAGGCGUCUCACUAGAACGGCUCCGACAGUGAGGGACGGAAGCUGGGGGAGCAAACCGGAUUAGAU
Molecule: ribosomal RNA, 496 nt
Filed under: uncultured microorganism
Description: bacterial SSU rRNA
Rfam family: Archaeal small subunit ribosomal RNA
Source: RNAcentral